RNAcentral lists this ribosomal RNA (460 nucleotides) under uncultured bacterium. Its description in RNAcentral is "partial 16S ribosomal RNA". It matches the Rfam family "Bacterial small subunit ribosomal RNA", at positions 338 to 795 of the family's 1533-position model. The record is from RNAcentral.
CCUACGGGAGGCAGCAGUGAGGAAUAUUGGUCAAUGGCCGGAAGGCUGAACCAGCCAUGCCGCGUGAAGGUCAGUGCCCUAUGGGCGUUAAACUUCUUUUGUGCGGGAGCAAUAAUGGUCACGUGUGGCCAGACGAGAGUACCGUACGAAUAAGCAUCGGCUAACUCCGUGCCAGCAGCCGCGGUAAUACGGGGGAUGCAAGCGUUAUCCGGAUUUAUUGGGUUUAAAGGGUGCGUAGGCUGUGAGGUAAGUCAGCGGUGAAAUGCCCCCGCGCAACGGGGUGAAGUGCCAUUGAUACUGGCUGGCUGGAAUGCGGAUGCCGUGGGAGGAAUGGGUGGUGUAGCGGUGAAAUGCAUAGAUAUCACACAGAACACCGAUUGCGAAGGCAUCUCACGAACCCGCGAUUGACGCUGAUGCACGAAAGCGUGGGUAUCAAACAGGAUUAGAUACCCUAGUAGUC